UACGUAGGGGGCAAGCGUUGUCCGGAAUCAUUGGGCGUAAAGCGCGCGUAGGCGGCCCGAUAAGUCUGCUGUCAAAGUCAACGGCUCAACCGUUGAAAGCCGGUGGAUACUGUCGGGCUAGAGUUCGGAAGAGGCAAGUGGAAUUCCUGGUGUAGCGGUGGAAUGCGCAGAUAUCAGGAGGAACACCUAUAGCGAAGGCAGCGUGCUGGGACGAUACUGACGCUAAGGCGCGAAAGCGUGGGGAGCGAACAGG
This 253-nucleotide ribosomal RNA is filed under the name uncultured bacterium. Its description in RNAcentral is "partial 16S ribosomal RNA". It matches the Rfam family "Bacterial small subunit ribosomal RNA", at positions 524 to 776 of the family's 1533-position model. The record is from RNAcentral.